This 468-nucleotide ribosomal RNA is filed under the name uncultured bacterium. RNAcentral's name for it is "partial 16S ribosomal RNA". It matches the Rfam family "Bacterial small subunit ribosomal RNA", at positions 28 to 507 of the family's 1533-position model. The record is from RNAcentral.
GACGAACGCUGGCGGCGUGCUUAACACAUGCAAGUCGAACGGAAAGGCCCUGCUUUUGUGGGGUGCUCGAGUGGCGAACGGGUGAGUAACACGUGAGUAACCUGCCCUUGACUUUGGGAUAACUUCAGGAAACUGGGGCUAAUACCGGAUAGGAGCUCCUGCUGCAUGGUGGGGGUUGGAAAGUUUCGGCGGUUGGGGAUGGACUCGCGGCUUAUCAGCUUGUUGGUGGGGUAGUGGCUUACCAAGGUUUUGACGGGUAGCCGGCCUGAGAGGGUGACCGGCCACAUGGGGACUGAGAUACGGCCCAGACUCCUACGGGAGGCAGCAGUGGGGAAUAUUGCACAAUGGGCGGAAGCCUGAUGCAGCAACGCCGCGUGCGGGAUGACGGCCUUCGGGUUGUAAACCGCUUUCGCCUGUGACGAAGCGUGAGUGACGGUAAUGGGUAAAGAAGCACCGGCUAACUACGUG